UAGCAAAGGAAGAAGCUGACCUACCGUUUGGCCUCAGACGUGCCUGCAACACCACUCUUUUUUUAUGCGCAGUCAGUAAAGCGUUUUUCUCUGUGUCGUGCACCUGCCGGUCGGAUGUUCAUCCAACGGUGAGCCUUUUGAAUAUUUAUUUUCUUGAUUUCUCACAGCGCACCACAAAAGGGAUGGGCAAGCCAGGCAAAAAGGCCGGAAAGGGGCUUCUCGCCCCUACCAACCCAAACCGGCGCACCGACCCAAAUAAGACUAGUCUUCGGGAUCAGCGCACCAUUAAGCGGCUGAAAAUGUACAAGUCGAAAAUUAAACGUGACGAAAAGGGCAACAUCAUCAAAGGAAGCGUGCUCAAAGCAUCCGAUCGCAUUGAGCAGCAGAUGGCGCGCAUUGCACCUGACCGCCGUUGGUUCGGCAACACCCGGACCAUCGGCCAGGAGGCGCUUCAGAAGUUCCGCGAAGAAAUGGGAGCCAAGUAUAAAGACCCGUACAGCGUCAUCAUCAAGCAGUCCAAGCUGCCGUUGAGCCUUCUUGAAGAGCCGAAGAACACUGACGGAAGCAUCCGUAAAGAAAUGGAGUGGGACAAAACGUUUGGUGAUAAGGCGAACCGCAAGCGGGUGCGACUCAAUGCUGUGGACAUGUCAACCUUGGCGACAGAGGCCAACGCCAAAGGUGACUAUUACAACUGCAACCAGAAAGAGAAGGACCGCGAUUUGAUGAAGGGGGUGCACAAGGAUCGCGACGAUAAAACCAGAAACGGGAUUUUGAUGACCAAGGGUCAAUCAAACCGAAUUUGGUGCGAGCUGUACAAGGUGAUUGACAGCUCGGAUGUAGUGCUGUACGUCGUCGACGCGCGCGAUCCGAUGGGUACGCGAAGUGCUUUUCUGGAGGAUUUCAUGCGGCGUGAGAAAAAAUAUAAACACUUCGUUCUGGUGUUGAACAAGUGCGAUUUAGUGCCUCUGUGGGCCACGGCUCGCUGGCUUCAGAUUCUCAGCAAGGACUAUCCCACCAUUGCUUUCCAUGCCAGUGUGAAUCACCCUUUUGGCAAAGGUAACGUCAUUUCUUUACUCCGGCAGUUUGCGCGUCUGCACAACGUAACGCACCGCGGCAGCAAGCGCACCAAGACGCCGAUUUCUGUGGGUGUGAUUGGUUACCCAAAUGUGGGAAAGAGCUCGCUGAUUAACACGCUACGUCGUAAAUCCGUCUGCAAGGUGGCACCCAUUCCUGGUGAGACGAAGGUGUGGCAGUAUGUUGCUCUGACACGCAGUAUCUUCCUCAUCGACUGCCCCGGCGUGGUGUACGACCGGGAGUCGAACAACGAUAUUCAGGCGGUGCUGAAGGGUGUCGUGCGUGUGGAGCGUCUCGGAAAUGCGGACAAGACUGAUGUCGUGGAUACCGUGUUGAAGAUUGUCAAGCACGGCGAUAUUGUGGCCACUUAUGGCGUCAGAGAAUGGCGCGACGUUGUUGAUUUUCUCGAGAAGCUUGCAAAGCUGCGCGGAAAGCUGGUUGCUGGAGGUGAGCCGGACGUAGAAGCUGCCGCGCGCAUGGUCUUGUACGACUGGCAGCGCGGGCGUCUGCCGUGGUUUAACGCGCCGCCGUUCGAGUCCAAUAAACACCACCGUGAUGCGAUGGAGCAGCCGCAGGAAAAGCACAUGAAGCUGAUUGAGCACUACAGCACCUUCAACGUGGUAGAUGACACCAUUCAUCGUGGCGAUGAGGAGCAAGAUGAGGCAGAUGACGGGGACGAGGAAAGCGUGAAUGACGCGCCUGAAGAGGACCAGCUCGACAGCGGUAGUGAGGCGGAGAAGGAUGAGGAAGCUGUCAAGCCUUCGAAACCGAGCAAGACUGACAGGCUGCCUGCGAAGAAGAUGCACGCGCAGCUGGCAACAGUGGCCACGUACGUGCGCGAGCAGGAGGAGAAGCAGCGCAAGGCCCGGCGACAGCAGAAGCGGAAGGCCGCACGAAAGGGGCAGGAGCGCGUGGAGGCUUUUUCAGCGGACGCUGAUCGCGAGAGCGACGAUGCGCUUUGGGCGCGGUUCUUGGUUGCUGCCCAGGAGUAACGCAAAGCACAAGAAACGUAUGUGCGUUUUGCUGCUGGUGCCGUUGUUUUAAGUGUGUGUGUGUGCGACACCUCUCCUGCUGCGCAUGAUCGUUCAUCGUCUCGCGUCUUGCGUAUCCCAUUUGCCUAGAGAAACAACGGCCGCUGUUGCCGUUUCUUUUUUUUUUGGCGUACUCUAUCCAUCGCUCUGCUUGGUCUGUGUUUUAGCCUGUGUCUGCUGGUCACCUUUUCAUUUUCGCUGUUCCUGAUUUUUCUGUGACCCCCCUCCACGACGAAGAGGGAAGGGAUACACACACACACACACACGCCUCGCAGCACGGGGCCCACCGACCCCACCCCCCUGUGUGCGAGGGGAAGCCGAGCAGCCCCCCAGCCCGUUCCAACCCCGAACCGCCGCUGGCGAUGGCCGGGCCGAGCACCUACGACGUAGCGCCGUCCGAGCAACCUGCGACAGUGAACACGCCCGCGCCGCCCCGCGAGCGAUGCACCAAGGGUGCGGGCGGAGUUCGGCGCAGGGGCCACGCGGGGAUGGCUAGACCGGCGCAUCGCUGCACCGCGUGUGCCUCUACGGCUGCCUCGCACCGCGGGGUGGGGGCCUGUGGCGGGCCAGGGGAUCGAGUGGCGUUUGACUCCAUUUUCAAUGGCGGCGAAAUGGACGAGUUGGGGAAAAAUGUGUUCCUCGUGUCUGUGCGUGUUUUUUUUCUUUUUUUGCCUUUACGCUUAAACGAGCACAGCCGUGUAAGUGCCGACACUUCUGUUUCGGCUGUUGUUAACUUCAUCUAAGCAGUGAGGGGAGUGAAGGGCAACUCCGUGUAAAGUGGUGCGCGUGCGAGCCAAUCGAUCGUCCCUCUCCUGUCCGGGCACGCGAGGCACCCAGAAUAACGAAUAAGCGAAAAGGGCACCAUUAACGUGUGUAUGUGUGUGUGUGUGGGGGGAGGAACGUUGAGGUAUGAAGACCUUCGCAGUUGUAUGGGCACGCUACUGCGGCGCAUUCUACCGCACUAGGCUUUCCGCAGAUUGUGUCCACGGAAAACAAGAGAAAAGGUCUUUCUCUGUUGCUACCCCCUACCACAUCUGGUUGUUGUGGCACCUCCCGAUGGCGCAUUUUUCGAAUCCGUGGUGCGAGCAGCAGAGGGAGAGCAGCCCCGGCAACAACGCUCUCGGUCCCUCUCAUUGGAUUACAUAUGUGCACAUAUAUAUAUAUAUAUGUUGCUGUUGCGUGUGUACACAUGGAGACGUCGCCCGUCACUCCACCUGUGUAGCUGACGGCACUCGCUCAUGGCACUUCCUGUCUUUCGCUCUUUCUUCUACCCUUGCCCGCUUCAG
RNAcentral lists this unclassified non-coding RNA (3391 nucleotides) under Leishmania donovani. Its description in RNAcentral is "gene:LdHU3.05.0530(CDS-product:GTPase_putative)". Lineage: Eukaryota; Euglenozoa; Kinetoplastea; Trypanosomatida; Trypanosomatidae. The record is from RNAcentral.